UGUAGUGGGCCGGAUGGUGUACACCCACGAUUCAUGACCACCCAGGACCUCAAACUGUGAUCUUAUUGGAAUAAGGGUCUUUGCAGAUGUGAUUAGGGUGAAAGAUUGAGAUGAAAUCGUAUUGGAUUAGGGUGAACUCUAAGUCCAGUGAAAAUUAUAAGAGAUAGAAGAAGAGAAAAUCAGGGAAGAAGAAUGCAAGGUUGGGGGAGAGAUCGGAGGGUACAUCUGCAAGCCAAGGAAUGCCAAGAAUUGCAGGCGGCCGCCAGAGCUGGGAAAGAGGCCUACCAUGGGGUCUCCCUCAGAGCCUCCAGAAAGAACAAACCCCGCUGAGACCUUGAUUUUGGACCUUUGGCCACAGAACUGUGAGAGAAUAGAUUUCCGUUGUUUUAACACACCCAGUGUGCGGUCGUUUGUUGUGGUGACACAGAAAAUGAAUGCAGAUUUCUAUCUUAAGCCUGUGCAAAUUCUAGAUUUGUUAGGUAAUGGAAGGAUGCAGAUAGAUUUUGUUCUGGAAGGCUAAGCUAGCUGCAAACGUUCUCAUGAUCUUAACCCACACAAACCUGUAUAUGCCAGGAAUGUCAAUACAGUGAACACAGAGAGCAGUGUAACAGUACAAGCAUUUGGGGGUGAGUUUUUUUCUCUGAAAACCAGUUUCUGUGAACCCGGGCAACCACUUUUCUGACCUGUGACCUUGUGUUUCCUCCGUGACUGUAGCCGGUAGUCCCCAGGGGCCAGGGAUCCCUGACUUCUCAGCCUGAAUGAAAUCCUUUCCCUGGGACUUUGGAACUGGAAUUCAAAGCCAUCGGUCAGUUUUUGCUGGUUCUUAAGCAAAGGACACAUCAAGUUGGGAGGACUCGGUUGGCCAUGAACUGACGACAUGGAGAACCUGCAGAGAGAGAGGAAAAGAAGCAGACAUACAGAGACCGGUUAAAAAGACUGCAGAGCCCUAGAGAAUAAGGACCAAGGGACUAUCGGCCCUAGAGAAUGAGGACCAAGGGAUCCAUGGCCCUAGAGAAUAAGGACCAAGGGACUAUCGGCCCUAGAGAAUGAGGACCAAGGGAUUCAUGGCCCCAGAGAAUAAGGACCAAGGGAUUACCGCCUCAGAGAAUGAGGACCAAGGGAUUCACAGCCCUAGAGAAGGAGGACCAAGGGAUUACCAGCCUUAUUGCUAAUCCAGGUCAUCGAGGAGCCCUUUAACUGCUUGCUGGUCACCACUGAGGUAGCCUGGGGGUGGUGGUGGGAGUAGAGGCUCUGCAGCCAGAUGGCUUAGGGUGAACUACUUGACCUUCUGGUUUCUCACUGUGGCUGGGACUACACAGCAGCACCCCCAUCACCUCUUCCUUGGAUUAAAUGUAAAAAGCACUUAGGAUGAAGUAAGGUGAAGAACAGAGGUUCAGUGAGAUAAAUUAAGAAUAGAAGUAUGAUGAACUGAAUCAGGUCCUAGAGGUUCAAAGAAUCAAGUCACAUGAUAGAGCGUGGGAAGUAUGACAACCAGGAGAGGCGCUGCCAACCAGAAACCUCCUUCGAUAGAAGCAGCUCUGCUUUCUGUCCACCUAGCAGUUGGACAUUCCAUUUCAAGGGAUCUGAUACUGACACAAAUUUGAAAGCCAUUGGAUUUGGUUCUAUCUCUAAACAGUCUAAGAUAAUACCCCAUGAGUCUGCAAUCUGAACGAGCCUAACAGAGGCAAGAGCUGUUUUAUCUACCUAACAUUUUGCGUGUUUUCAGACUUAGAAUCAGAUAACGUUUCUUCGAGACCAGAUAGAAAGCUUGGCUGAGUGCACAGGCAGGAAGGGACCUUGCAGAGGAGCCCCCAGGGAUCAAUUCCUUUCUCAUGAAAUCACCCAGUCACUCCUCAGGUAUUAAAGAGUCGGGUAGCUAGUCCUCCACCCCCCUAGCCCCCCAGUGUUGACCCUCCUAAUUUGACAGUAGCAGAACAGUGGUGGUGAAUUCCAGGCAGAGUCAAGAGGGAGCCUGAGCCCCAGUUCUCCCAUCUGCACCCCCUGCUCCCCUGGCAGCUCCACCGACCCUGGCAGGGGACCUGAUAGACCAGAAUUUUAUUUCUCUUAGGUCAGACCCUGCAACGUUGCCAUGUUCCUGGCAAUCCACCCCAUCAUCCACAGGCUCAGCUCGUGGAUGCAGAGGUACCCCCUUCUCGGCUUCUGGUGCUGAGGGGAGAGCAGGCCAGUUUUUCCUCGGUGCCUGCACAGCUCCCCUGAGUCCUGUUUGCAGGGUCUGCUGCCUUGAAACUUGGGGUGCCUGCCUACUGGGUGCCGUAUAUCCUCGACAGUGCAUGCAACUCCUAGGGUGGCGUGGAGGGAGAGUGGUUUAUUACAAACUUGGCUCUGUUACAAACAGAAAGGAUUUAUGUAUAAGGUUCAAAAUUGUUAUUUUUAGAGUCAGUAACGCGAACAAUCCCAAUACUUUCUGGAGACUCUUCCUUAGGGUCAAGGUGAGCAGCGCUGGACCGCCUGAGCCCUCCCACCCAGCGGCCUCCAGCCUCCCCUUCACAUUCCACCCCCCACUCUGCUGCGGAGCCAAGGAUCCCAAAUGUAAAUCCAAUCGUGCCACCUUCUGCCUCCUUCAAAGGAUUGCCACCGACCUCUGAAUAAAGUACAAGUUCUUUAGCAGAACAGGGAAGACCAGCUUUAUUUUGCUCCAUUCAUCCUGCACCUUUGGUUCCUGCCUUCCCAUAUCACCCAGCUGAGGGUCAGGACCUGAAGUCUCACCCCAGCUGCAGAGUAUCAGGAGAAGGGCUAUUUUUUUUUCUUUAAAGCAUAGUCAUGUGUUUCUCAAAUCUUCCCACAACAAAAUCAAUGAAUGUCUUUAUUAAAAAUAAUGCUUUAAUAACAGAAUGAAUAUUUAUGGCCAGGCAUUAGGUUGUAUGUUCUAAGUUAACUCAUUUAAUCAUUCAUUAAAACAACCUUAAAAGGAAAGUGCUCACUCUUUCUUCUUUCUUUUUCUUUCUUUUUUUUUUUUUCUUUCUUCUUUUUUCUCUCUCUGUCUCUCUCUCUUUUUCUUUCUCUUUUCUUUUCCUCUUUUGAGGUAAGUGCUAUUUCCAACUUCAUCUGCUGGAUGAGAAACUGAGCCUAUAGGGUAAAUAAUCAUUUGCGUUCACAAGCAGCAAAGGCAGGUUUCAAGUCCAGCAGCCACGUUCCACAAGCCACCCUCUUUACCAUGCUCCCAGGUAGUCUCUCACUAAAAAUGCAGAUU
Molecule: long non-coding RNA, 3211 nt
Organism: Canis lupus familiaris (dog)
Lineage: Eukaryota; Metazoa; Chordata; Mammalia; Carnivora; Canidae
Exons: 3
Source: RefSeq, a predicted model, not a curated record